This 822-nucleotide long non-coding RNA is filed under the name Hordeum vulgare. RNAcentral describes it as "long non-coding RNA (HVUL_LNC008570)". Lineage: Eukaryota; Viridiplantae; Streptophyta; Magnoliopsida; Poales; Poaceae. The record is from RNAcentral.
GUGCCAUCGACUACAUCAACCAUCGAUGAUUGCCAUCGACGACGGCCAUCCAUCCUUUGAGAGCAUCUUCAACCGGAAGCAAGGUCGGCUUACCCCGACUUCGUGAAAGGUUAAGUGUGACGAAGGUAUCCGUUCCGUCACAAUUUUUUCCUUGCCAUUACACCUUGAUAGCCCCACCAUCUUUGCGAUUACCUUCAUACCUAUUGAGACUAGCUAUCCGAGCAUUGAUGGGCUUCGCAAAAACUUGAGCACCAUUGUCCGCAUGUUGUGUAUGAGUCUACCACUGAGCCAUCUACUUCUGAUGUGCCAUCCUCCUCAUCCUAGCUUGCUUAUGGCAUGUCAUCGCCCGCUUCUACCUAUUGACCACUAUGUUUUUUAUAGUGCUAACAUGUUGUUCUUCGGUCGACUUCUUAUCGCGAUGCUGUUGUUCAUCCCGAAACUUCCGGAGCAUCCGGCCUAACAAGAGACAUUACCCAAAAUUUCAGCAUCAACCUUUUCACCGUUUUGGCCAUAACUAAUUCAUCCAGAGUCAAAUUUUCGUGUUCCUUAGCUUGAUUUGUAGCUAUUGACAUCCCCCAUCCCACAAAAGUAGUUCCAAAAUCAUUUGACUCCAUCAAUUUUUCAGAUAUUUGGCAUCUUUGCCUACUAGGCCCUCCACCAUAACUUCCGCACCACCACCAUAGCCUUCUGCAACCUAACCCAUUUUGGCUCCCAUUGCAUUUGUAGUUGUUUGAGUUGUGAUUUGAGCUCCUAAGGUGUUUCGGCUACUUAGGGACAGUUGCUCCUUCAUCAACCACCGGUGACUUGUAUCGUGCCAUCGAC